RNAcentral lists this non-coding RNA (103 nucleotides) under Rhodosorus marinus. Lineage: Eukaryota; Rhodophyta; Stylonematophyceae; Stylonematales; Stylonemataceae. The record is from RNAcentral.
ACUGCCAUGAGAUAGCCGUUCUGGACAAUUCACCUACGGUUAUCUUCAGGAGCAUGACCUGGAACCGAAUCGAUGUCCUAUUAGCGCUUGAGGAAAUCGAGCC